Molecule: ribosomal RNA, 506 nt
Filed under: uncultured bacterium
Lineage: Bacteria
Description: bacterial SSU rRNA
Rfam family: Bacterial small subunit ribosomal RNA
Source: RNAcentral
AGAGUUUGAUCCUGGCUCAGGAUGAACGCUGGCGGCGUGCCUAAUACAUGCAAGUCGAACGAGGUGCUUUGUAGCAAUACGAAGUAUCCUAGUGGCGAACGGGUGAGUAACGCGUUGGUGACCUACCCCAAAGUGUGGGAUAACAGUCCGAAAGGAUUGCUAAUACCGCAUGUGGUUAUUGGAUUUAGAAACCGGUAACUAAAGGAGCAAUUCGCUUUGGGAGGGACCUGCGUCCCAUCAGCUAGUUGGUGAGGUAAUGGCUCACCAAGGCGACGACGGGUAGGGGACCUGAGAGGGUGACCCCCCACAAUGGAACUGAAACACGGUCCAUACACCUACGGGUGGCAGCAGUAGGGAAUAUUGCUCAAUGGGCGAAAGCCUGAUGCAGCAACGCCGCGUGCACGAUGAAGGCCUUCGGGUCGUAAAGUGCUUUUCGGGGAGAUGAGAAAGGACAGUAUCCCCGGAAUAAGGAUCGGCUAACUACGUGCCAGCCGCCGCGGUAAUUC